This 469-nucleotide ribosomal RNA is filed under the name uncultured bacterium. RNAcentral describes it as "partial 16S ribosomal RNA". It matches the Rfam family "Bacterial small subunit ribosomal RNA", at positions 27 to 507 of the family's 1533-position model. The record is from RNAcentral.
GGACGACCGCUGGCGGCGUGCUUAACCCAUGCAAGUCGAACGGAAGGGCCCUGCUUUUGUGGGGUGCUCGAGUGGCGAACGGGUGAGUAACACGUGAGUAACCUGCCCUUGACUUUGGGAUAACUUCAGGAAACUGGGGCUAAUACCGGAUAGGAGCUCCUGCUGCAUGGUGGGGGUUGGAAAGUUUCGGCGGUUGGGGAUGGACUCGCGGCUUAUCAGCUUGUUGGUGGGGUAGUGGCUUACCAAGGCUUUGACGGGUAGCCGGCCUGAGAGGGUGACCGGCCACAUUGGGACUGAGAUACGGCCCAGACUCCUACGGGAGGCAGCAGUGGGGAAUAUUGCACAAUGGGCGGAAGCCUGAUGCAGCAACGCCGCGUGCGGGAUGACGGCCUUCGGGUUGUAAACCGCUUUCGCCUGUGACGAAGCGUGAGUGACGGUAAUGGGUAAAGAAGCACCGGCUAACUACGUG